GCGGUCGUGGCGGAAUUGGUAGACGCGCAACGUUGAGGUCGUUGUGUCCGAAAGGACGUGGAAGUUCGAGUCUUCUCGACCGCA
Molecule: transfer RNA, 84 nt
Filed under: Sphingomonas jinjuensis
Lineage: Bacteria; Pseudomonadati; Pseudomonadota; Alphaproteobacteria; Sphingomonadales; Sphingomonadaceae
Also listed under: 5 other names
Description: Sphingomonas sp. YC6723 tRNA
Rfam family: tRNA
About the family: Transfer RNA (tRNA) molecules are approximately 80 nucleotides in length. Their secondary structure includes four short double-helical elements and three loops (D, anti-codon, and T loops). Further hydrogen bonds mediate the characteristic L-shaped molecular structure. tRNAs have two regions of fundamental functional importance: the anti-codon, which is responsible for specific mRNA codon recognition, and the 3' end, to which the tRNAs corresponding amino acid is attached (by aminoacyl-tRNA synthetases). tRNAs cope with the degeneracy of the genetic code in two manners: having more than one tRNA (with a specific anti-codon) for a particular amino acid; and 'wobble' base-pairing, i.e. permitting non-standard base-pairing at the 3rd anti-codon position.
Source: Rfam by way of RNAcentral